AAAUUGAAGAGUUUGAUCAUGGCUCAGAUUGAACGCUGGCGGCAGGCCUAACACAUGCAAGUCGAGCGGCAGCGACAACAUUGAAUCUUCGGAGGAUUUGUUGGGCGGCGAGCGGCGGACGGGUGAGUAAUGCCUAGGAAAUUGCCCUGAUGUGGGGGAUAACCAUUGGAAACGAUGGCUAAUACCGCAUGAUGCCUACGGGCCAAAGAGGGGGACCUUCGGGCCUCUCGCGUCAGGAUAUGCCUAGGUGGGAUUAGCUAGUUGGUGAGGUAAGGGCUCACCAAGGCGACGAUCCCUAGCUGGUCUGAGAGGAUGAUCAGCCACACUGGAACUGAGACACGGUCCAGACUCCUACGGGAGGCAGCAGUGGGGAAUAUUGCACAAUGGGCGCAAGCCUGAUGCAGCCAUGCCGCGUGUGUGAAGAAGCGCCUGGGUUGUAAAGCACUUUCAGUAGGGAGGAAGCGUUCAUGCGUUAAUAGCGUAUGGAUUUGACGUUACCUACAGAAGAAGCACCGGCUAACUCCGUGCCAGCAGCCGCGGUAAUACGGAGGGUGCGAGCGUUAAUCGGAAUUACUGGGCGUAAAGCGCAUGCAGGUGGUUUGUUAAGUCAGAUGUGAAAGCCCGGGGCUCAACCUCGGAAUUGCAUUUGAAACUGGCAGACUAGAGUACUGUAGAGGGGGGUAGAAUUUCAGGUGUAGCGGUGAAAUGCGUAGAGAUCUGAAGGAAUACCGGUGGCGAAGCGCGGCCCCUGGACAGAUACUGACACUCAGAUGCGAAAGCGUGGGGAGCAAACAGGAUUAGAUACCCUGGUAGUCCACGCCGUAAACGAUGUCUACUUGGAGGUUGUGGCCUUGAGCCGUGGCUUUCGGAGCUAACGCGUUAAGUAGACCGCCUGGGGAGUACGGUCGCAAGAUUAAAACUCAAAUGAAUUGACGGGGGCCCGCACAAGCGGUGGAGCAUGUGGUUUAAUUCGAUGCAACGCGAAGAACCUUACCUACUCUUGACAUCCAGAGAAGCCAGUAGAGAUACAGGUGUGCCUUCUGGGAACUCUGAGACAGGUGCUGCAUGGCUGUCGUCAGCUCGUGUUGUGAAAUGUUGGGUUAAGUCCCGCAACGAGCGCAACCCUUAUCCUUGUUUGCCAGCGAGUAAUGUCGGGAACUCCAGGGAGACUGCCGGUGAUAAACCGGAGGAAGGUGGGGACGACGUCAAGUCAUCAUGGCCCUUACGAGUAGGGCUACACACGUGCUACAAUGGCGCAUACAGAGGGCGGCCAACUUGCGAAAGUGAGCGAAUCCCAAAAAGUGCGUCGUAGUCCGGAUUGGAGUCUGCAACUCGACUCCAUGAAGUCGGAAUCGCUAGUAAUCGUGGAUCAGAAUGCCACGGUGAAUACGUUCCCGGCCUUGUACACACCGCCCGUCACACCAUGGGAGUGGGCUGCAAAGAAGUAGGUAGUUUAACCUUUCGGGAGGACGCUUACCACUUUGUGGUUCAUGACUGGGGUGAAGUCGUAACAAGGUAGCGCUAGGGGAACCUGGCGCUGGAUCACCUCCUUAUACGAUGAU
RNAcentral lists this ribosomal RNA (1562 nucleotides) under Vibrio alfacsensis. RNAcentral's name for it is "16S ribosomal RNA". It matches the Rfam family "Bacterial small subunit ribosomal RNA". Lineage: Bacteria; Pseudomonadati; Pseudomonadota; Gammaproteobacteria; Vibrionales; Vibrionaceae. The record is from RNAcentral.